Long non-coding RNA from Pan troglodytes (chimpanzee), 279 nucleotides. RefSeq lists it as uncharacterized. The transcript is spliced from 3 exons. The record is from RefSeq and is a predicted model, not a curated record. NCBI's taxonomy places the organism in Eukaryota, Metazoa, Chordata, Mammalia, Primates, Hominidae.
CCUUAGCUCGUGGCUGCAUGGCUCCAAUCUCUGCCUCCAUUUUCACAUGAUCUUCUCCUUUUUCUCUUUGGAACAUAUUUGUUGUUGAUUUAGAGUCCACCCAGGUAUCGCAUCAGAAGAUUUAUCUACAAAAUAUGCAUGAAUAAAGAGAGGAAAUUCUUGAAUACACAGAGAUUGAAGACAGGAAAAAUCUGAGCCAGAUAUUGCAGAAACAAGACAUAGUGCAAUGAAUUAUAAAGUAUAAAAUGGACAAAGUAAAUUGGAGGAGAAAGAAGCAGC